This 41-nucleotide transfer RNA is filed under the name Scherotheca albina. RNAcentral's name for it is "partial tRNA-Ser". The record is from RNAcentral. Lineage: Eukaryota; Metazoa; Annelida; Clitellata; Crassiclitellata; Lumbricidae.
GGUCUGAAGUUUUGGAAACACUGGACCUUGAAUGUCCAUCU